RNAcentral lists this ribosomal RNA (450 nucleotides) under uncultured bacterium. Its description in RNAcentral is "partial 16S ribosomal RNA". It matches the Rfam family "Bacterial small subunit ribosomal RNA", at positions 354 to 796 of the family's 1533-position model. The record is from RNAcentral.
GUGGGGAAUUUUGGACAAUGGGCGAAAGCCUGAUCCAGCCAUGCCGCGUGCAGGAUGAAGGCCUUCGGGUUGUAAACUGCUUUUGUACGGAACGAAAAGACUCCUUCUAAUAAAGGGGGUCCAUGACGGUACCGUAAGAAUAAGCACCGGCUAACUACGUGCCAGCAGCCGCGGUAAUACGUAGGGUGCAAGCGUUAAUCGGAAUUACUGGGCGUAAAGCGUGCGCAGGCGAUUAUAUAAGACAGAUGUGAAAUCCCCGGGCUCAACCUGGGAACUGCAUUUGUGACUGUAUAGCUAGAGUACGGUAGAGGGGGAUGGAAUUCCGCGUGUAGCAGUGAAAUGCGUAGAUAUGCGGAGGAACACCGAUGGCGAAGGCAAUCCCCUGGACCUGUACUGACGCUCAUGCACGAAAGCGUGGGGAGCAAACAGGAUUAGAAACCCGUGUAGUCC